RNAcentral lists this long non-coding RNA (1312 nucleotides) under Anas platyrhynchos platyrhynchos (common mallard). RNAcentral's name for it is "lncRNA (ENSAPLG00000016962.1)". The record is from RNAcentral. Lineage: Eukaryota; Metazoa; Chordata; Aves; Anseriformes; Anatidae.
CCCCCCCGGGCCGAGGGAGCCGGAGUCGAAGGGGGGCAGCGGCUCCGCAGCGGCCAGAGCCCGGCCCGUCGGGGCGCCUGUGCGCACCCACCGGCCGUGUGCGGAGUUUUUCGGGGCAUUCGUUUCAAACGAAUUUGGGAACGUCGGUGGCGGGUCCGUAAAGCCCCCCUGCGCCAGUCUCCCUCCCCCCCGAGCAGAAUUAGCACUCGGCCGCUCAACGCCCUGCCGCUGGCCGAUUCCUGCGGGAUUCAACCCGUGCUUGUUUGGAAACGAUUGCGUCCCGCUCUCCGCGCUUCCCGCUCAGCCGCAGCGGAGGAUGGGGCGCAGCUGGGGCCGCAGCGGACGGCCGCGGGGUGGGAGAGAGGAUCUGCUUCAAAAAUGCUCCUCCGAACAGACACGGCGAGGGAAGCACAGAUCCCGUCUCCCACCCCCGGGAAGCACGGAUCCCCUCUCCCAUCCCCGACCUCUGUGCUUACUCCGGGCGACUUUCGGAAGGGAGAAUCCGGCGCCGUCCCGCUCCCCUCGGCGGCCGGGGCCGUAGCAAAAGACAAAAGAGCUGCAGAGAACCACAGCGGCGGAGGCUGAAUGGGAGCAGCUGUUCGCCCUAGCCGGAAAGGAGAUGUCAAAACCUGUUGCGUGGACGGAGCUCUGAGAAAAUCUCUUCUUAGCUCCCUAAAAUGUGAGUACGGACCCUACACGCAAGCCCCUCCGCGGGCGCUUUCACUUCGGGCGGCGGUGGCCGGGCGGCGUGUGUCGCCGCUUCCCAGAGCGACUGCAAAUUAGGGACAGCUGGAUCCCAAUGCUCUGUAACUGCUUUUAACUUUGGGGCAAGAAAAUUCUUCCUAUUAGUGCUAGAAGAGGGAGCAGAUACCGGCUGCUGAGCCCCGGCACGGGGCGAGUCAAGUUGCGAGGGAAUCAAACGAUCAGGCGAGGAGCUUUUCUGGCAUGUGCAAAAGAGCUCGUUCACUGCAGUUAUAUUUCAGAGCAAGAAGCAAUCGCCUGGUAACAUUUGCCCCCCGUCCGACGGGAACAUUUUGAGGGGUGUCUCCGUGCAGCCGCAGCCAAAGGCUUUUCUGGGCUGCCCCAAACUUGCUCCCGGCCCCGCUGUGCCCGGCGCAGGAGCCCCGGGUUCAUCCCGGUGCCGGCCAGGGAAGCGGUGUGACUGACCCCAGGACACCCUCAGCAGAGGUCUGGCCCCUCCGGGAAGUCGUUGCCGAGCACCAGGCAGCGUGCGGGACCGGCAGUGUCAGCGCAAGUGGCUGUGAAAUAGGAGGAAAAUAAAAAAGUCGUUUUUUUUCUCUCGUAACGCUCC